This 253-nucleotide ribosomal RNA is filed under the name uncultured bacterium. RNAcentral describes it as "partial 16S ribosomal RNA". It matches the Rfam family "Bacterial small subunit ribosomal RNA", at positions 524 to 776 of the family's 1533-position model. The record is from RNAcentral.
UACGUAGGUGGCAAGCGUUGUCCGGAUUUACUGGGCGUAAAGAGCGCGCAGGCGGUCGUUCAAGUCGCGUGUGAAAGCCCCCGGCUCAACUGGGGAGGGUCACGCGAUACUGAUCGACUCGAAGGCAGGAGAGGGUAGUGGAAUUCCCGGUGUAGUGGUGAAAUGCGUAGAUAUCGGGAGGAACACCAGUGGCGAAGGCGGCUUCCUGGACCGACACUGACGCUGAGGCGCGAAAGCUAGGGGAGCAAACGGG